AGGAAGACGCUCCGAUAACCCGUGCGUUUCGUAAGGCUCUGAGCACUUGUACAUUUCUGCAGGCGCGCGACGAGCCAUUCGCGGCGGCUGCUGCAGCUCCGACUGCAUCCUCCUCCUCCUCCUCCUUCCCCCGGGCUCCGGGUGUGUGUCUGCGUGAGUGUAUGUGUGUGUGUGUGUGUUUUGCAGGUGUGUCCGUUUUAAUUCUGCCCAGUAGGUGGGACUUGGUGACUUUAGCACCAUAUUUUUCCUUUUCUUUUUUUUCCCUUCUUUUUCUUUUUUGCCUCCCCACCGUCUGUUGCAACCCUGCAAAGUCUCGGAGUCGGAGAGCGCGGCUCGCUUCCCGAGCCCCCGGACCCGGCGAGCCGGCGAGCGCCGAGCCGGCCACCAUGCCAGGCAGACCGCGCCACUAGGCGCUCCCCGCGGCUCCCACCCGGCGGCGGCGGCAGCGGCGGCGGCGGCGGCGGCGGCGGCCGCGAUGGUUUCAGACGCUGAAGGAUUUUGCAUCUGAUCGCACGGCGUUUCAAAGGCAGAGGCCCCCCCUCCCCCUUCCCCCCUCCCUCGCCGUCUUUGUUUCCUUCCCCCCCAGCUCUCCCCACUCCCCCCACCCCACCCCCCUCUCCUCUCCUCCUCCUCUUUUUUAGAAGCCGCGAUCGGAGAUGGAUGUCUCUCUUUGCCCAGCCAAGUGUAGUUUCUGGCGGAUUUUCUUGCUGGGAAGCGUCUGGCUGGACUAUGUGGGCUCCGUGCUGGCUUGCCCUGCAAAUUGUGUCUGCAGCAAGACUGAGAUCAAUUGCCGGCGGCCGGACGAUGGGAACCUCUUCCCCCUCCUGGAAGGGCAGGAUUCAGGGAACAGCAAUGGGAACGCCAGCAUCAACAUCACAGACAUCUCAAGGAAUAUCACUUCCAUACACAUAGAGAACUGGCGGGGCCUGCACACGCUCAAUGCAGUAGACAUGGAGCUCUACACCGGCCUCCAGAAGCUGACCAUCAAGAACUCAGGACUUCGGAGCAUCCAGCCCAGAGCCUUUGCCAAGAACCCUCACUUGCGCUAUAUAAACCUGUCGAGUAACCGGCUUACCACACUCUCAUGGCAGCUCUUCCAGACGCUGAGUCUUCGGGAAUUGAGGUUGGAGCAGAACUUCUUCAACUGCAGCUGUGACAUCCGCUGGAUGCAGCUGUGGCAGGAGCAGGGGGAGGCCAAGCUCAGCAGCCAGCACCUCUACUGCAUCAACGCGGACGGCUCCCAGCUGCCCCUCUUCCGCAUGAACAUCAGCCAGUGUGACCUUCCUGAGAUCAGUGUGAGCCACGUCAACCUGACCGUACGAGAGGGUGACAAUGCCGUCAUCACUUGUAAUGGCUCUGGAUCACCGCUGCCUGACGUAGACUGGAUAGUCACUGGCCUGCAGUCCAUCAACACCCACCAGACCAAUCUGAACUGGACCAAUGUGCACGCCAUCAACCUGACCCUGGUGAACGUGACAAGUGAGGACAACGGCUUCACCCUGACGUGCAUCGCGGAGAACGUGGUGGGCAUGAGCAAUGCCAGCGUCGCCCUCACCGUGCACUACCCUCCGCGUGUGGUGAGCCUGGAGGAGCCCGAGCUGCGCCUGGAGCACUGCAUCGAGUUCGUGGUGCGUGGCAACCCACCGCCCACGCUGCACUGGCUGCACAACGGGCAGCCGCUGCGUGAGUCCAAGAUCACCCACGUGGAGUACUACCAGGAGGGCGAGGUGUCCGAGGGCUGCCUGCUCUUCAACAAGCCCACCCACUACAACAACGGCAACUACACCCUUAUCGCCAAAAACCCGCUGGGCACCGCCAACCAGACCAUCAACGGCCACUUCCUCAAGGAGCCCUUCCCAGAGAGCACGGAUAACUUUGUCUCUAUCUACGAUGUGAGCCCCACGCCCAUCACUGUGACCCACAAACCGGAGGAAGACACUUUCGGGGUAUCCAUAGCUGUUGGACUUGCUGCUUUUGCCUGCGUCCUGUUGGUGGUUCUCUUCAUCAUGAUCAACAAGUACGGUCGACGGUCCAAAUUUGGAAUGAAGGGCCCCGUGGCUGUCAUCAGCGGCGAGGAGGACUCAGCCAGCCCGCUGCACCACAUCAACCAUGGCAUCACCACACCCUCGUCGUUGGACGCUGGGCCAGACACGGUGGUCAUCGGCAUGACCCGGAUCCCAGUCAUUGAGAACCCCCAGUACUUCCGUCAGGGACACAACUGCCACAAGCCAGACACGUACGUGCAGCACAUUAAGAGGAGGGACAUCGUGUUGAAGCGGGAACUGGGCGAGGGAGCCUUUGGCAAGGUCUUCCUGGCCGAGUGCUACAACCUCAGCCCGACCAAGGACAAGAUGCUCGUGGCCGUGAAGGCCCUGAAGGAUCCCACCCUGGCUGCCCGGAAGGAUUUCCAGAGGGAGGCUGAGUUGCUCACCAACCUGCAGCACGAGCACAUUGUCAAAUUCUAUGGUGUGUGUGGCGACGGUGACCCACUCAUCAUGGUCUUUGAGUACAUGAAGCACGGAGACCUCAACAAGUUCCUCAGGGCCCAUGGGCCAGAUGCUAUGAUCCUUGUGGACGGGCAGCCACGCCAGGCGAAAGGCGAGCUGGGUCUCUCCCAAAUGCUCCACAUCGCCAGUCAGAUUGCCUCAGGCAUGGUGUACCUGGCCUCCCAGCACUUUGUGCACCGGGACCUGGCCACCAGGAAUUGCCUGGUUGGAGCCAAUCUGCUGGUGAAGAUCGGGGACUUCGGCAUGUCCAGAGAUGUCUACAGCACCGAUUACUACAGGGUGGGAGGACACACCAUGCUCCCCAUCCGUUGGAUGCCCCCUGAAAGCAUCAUGUACCGGAAGUUCACUACGGAGAGCGAUGUGUGGAGCUUUGGGGUGAUCCUGUGGGAGAUCUUCACCUACGGAAAGCAGCCAUGGUUCCAGCUCUCAAACACAGAGGUCAUCGAGUGUAUCACCCAGGGUCGUGUGCUGGAGCGGCCCCGAGUGUGCCCCAAAGAGGUGUACGACGUCAUGCUGGGGUGCUGGCAGAGGGAACCCCAGCAGCGGCUGAACAUCAAGGAGAUCUACAAAGUCCUUCACGCUUUGGGGAAAGCCGCCCCCAUCUACCUGGACAUCCUCGGCUAGCGGUGGCUGGCGGUCACGGAUGCGUACUCUGUUGCCUCCUGUCUCCUGGCCUCACAUCCUCCCUUGUCACCUCACACUCCUUUCUUCCAUCCUGACUGAAGCGAACAUCUUCAUAUAAACUCAAGUGCCUGCUACACAUACAACACUGAAAAAAAAAAAAAGGAAAGAAAAAACCCUGUAAGGCAGUUUGGCGAAUAUAUAUAUAUAUAUACAUAUAUAUAUUUAUAUAUCUAACUAUCUAUCUAUCUAUAUCCACAGACAGAGAGAUACCUUCUCUAAUACAGAGAGAAGCUGCUGACACAGAAACCAUAAGACUGUAACAACAACUCAGAAAAUCUUAAAUAUUAUAAACACAAAUGGAAACCCCCUUUGACGGAAGCUGGGGUCCCUGCUUCUUCGGCUCUGGCUUUUCGGAGCCGAAGACCUUGAUGACACAGAGACGGUCUUCCUGCGGGGACAGGAGGAGCUGGGGUGGGGUGCGAAUUGUUCAGGCGAUUACCUGCACAGGUGCGUUUCCCCUCCCCGGCCCCCCCUCCCCGAGCUCUGCACAGGUGCAUGGACAGACCCCAUCAACUGCACUCAGGAUGCAGCGGGAAAGAACACUGGACCGGGGGCCUCUGGAAAAGCCUCAUGUCUCCCCUGACUGUUGCCUCCACGCCUUCCCCUUUCCUCUGCUUCAAGACGGUUCUCCCAUUCGUCCAUUCUGGAAAGUAGAGUCCUGACGCUUUUGGAAGUCAGUGAGGGCGUGUACCAGUCAACACGUAACAACCGACAAGAUACAAAACCAUCAUGACAAUGGACUUCAUCCAUCUUGGGUGUAAACCACGCUCACGUUCCUUCCUAAAUUUGAAAGGGACGUGCCAUUUAUUCUCUGAACCUCAAGAACUGGACGUUCUGGACUUAGCCACAGAAGAAGAAGCUGAAAUUCGAACCCUCCCUGGCAAGGCACUGCCUCUCGUCUUUCCCUCGCUGGAAAGACUCCUCAGCCCCACCUCCCGCAUUCGGGCCUUUCGGGGAGUUUGGGGGCGAAGGGAACGUCCCGCCUGUUGCCCGCAAAUGUGGACGCAGCAGGGUUCCGGUAGCAGGAGACUUCGUUCCUUGCCCCUCCCAGUGUGAGUGUACUAUGCCCCUACGGAACAGGAGCACCACAGACCACAUGUCAGCACAGUGUUCAUUUAUUUAGUGGAAUGGUUAUAAUAUUGACACAAAGGUUUGCAGCAUCUAAAUCUUGAGGGGGAUAAGAGGCUUUUUCUAUCAAAUGAGAUCUUUACUGUGAUGGCACAAGAAGGGUUUAUACCUUAAGAACAGCAAUGAACCUGAGAACAUGCUCCCUCUUUAAGGAACAAUGAGGUGGAAGAAAUCACUGGAGAAGUCACCAGGACACCAGACCCUCUAUUCCGCAAAUCACGAUGUUUCAAUAGAUGCUUCAACUCUGUCCUUGACAUGGCUCUAAAAACAUAAUAAUGAACUAUGAUCAGCUAUCCACAUUUACUACUAAAAUUCAUCAUGUCUAACCCAACCCCUAUUUUUAUCAAAUAUCAUUUUUUUUCAUAACUAUCAGUUCAAUGUUGCUUUUUGUUUCCUGGGCCCCUUCUAAUAUUUUCAGUGAGUUUUUUUUCAUUUUUAUUUCUUUAGGAAAGACAUGGGGUCUAUGUUAAAUAUUGUCUGUGAUAAAAUGGCAAG
RNA transcript from Prionailurus viverrinus (fishing cat), 4814 nucleotides. It is a transcript of the gene named neurotrophic receptor tyrosine kinase 3, with no coding region annotated. The transcript is spliced from 18 exons. The record is from RefSeq and is a predicted model, not a curated record. NCBI's taxonomy places the organism in Eukaryota, Metazoa, Chordata, Mammalia, Carnivora, Felidae.